This 329-nucleotide ribosomal RNA is filed under the name uncultured Anaerolineaceae bacterium. RNAcentral describes it as "bacterial SSU rRNA". It matches the Rfam family "Bacterial small subunit ribosomal RNA", at positions 1039 to 1382 of the family's 1533-position model. The record is from RNAcentral. Lineage: Bacteria; Bacillati; Chloroflexota; Anaerolineae; Anaerolineales; Anaerolineaceae.
UGUUGCAUGGCUGUCGUCAGCUCGUGUCGUGAGAUGUUCGGUUAAGUCCGCUAACGAGCGCAACCCUCGCCGUAUGUUACAAGUGUCAUACGGGACUGCCGGUAAAAAGCCGGAGGAAGGUGAGGAUGAUGUCAAGUCAGCAUGACCUUUAUAUCCAGGGCUACACACACGCUACAAUGGUCUGUACAAUUGGUUGCCAAGCCGCGAGGCGGAGCCAAUCCGUAAAGCAGGCCUCAGUUCAGAUUGCAGUCUGCAACUCGACUGCAUGAAGCCGGAGUUGCUAGUAACCGCAGGUCAGCAAUACUGCGGUGAAUACGUUCCCGGGUCUU